UGCAGUCGAGCGGACCGACGGGAGCUUGCUCCCUUAGGUCAGCGGCGGACGGGUGAGUAACACGUGGGUAACCUGCCUGUAAGACUGGGAUAACUCCGGGAAACCGGGGCUAAUACCGGAUGCUUGAUUGAACCGCAUGGUUCAAUCAUGAAAGGCGGCUUCGGCUGCCGUUUACAGAUGGACCCGCGGCGCAUUAGCUAGUUGGUGAGGUAACGGCUCACCAAGGCGACGAUGCGUAGCCGACCUGAGAGGGUGAUCGGCCACACUGGGACUGAGACACGGCCCAGACUCCUACGGGAGGCAGCAGUAGGGAAUCUUCCAGCAUGGACGAGAGUCUGACGGAGCAACGCCGCGUGAGUGAU
Molecule: ribosomal RNA, 362 nt
Filed under: Bacillus sp. CSu3_6
Lineage: Bacteria; Bacillati; Bacillota; Bacilli; Caryophanales; Bacillaceae
Description: bacterial SSU rRNA
Rfam family: Bacterial small subunit ribosomal RNA
Source: RNAcentral